Molecule: ribosomal RNA, 336 nt
Filed under: uncultured fungus
Lineage: Eukaryota; Fungi
Description: eukaryotic LSU rRNA
Rfam family: 5.8S ribosomal RNA (bases 1-71)
Source: RNAcentral
GUGAGUCAUCGAGUCUUUGAACGCACCUUGCGCUCCUUGGUAUUCCGAGGAGCAUGCCUGUUUGAGUGUCAUGUUCUCCUCAGUCCCUUCAGAUUUUUCUGUUGCUGGUACUGGAUAUUGGAAGCUGCUGGAACAUAUCCUUUCAGCUCUUCUUAAAUGCAUUAGCGUGAAUAUUUGUCAAGCGCUCUCCAGUGUAAUAAUUAUCUACGCCGUCGAGCUAUUGAUGAGAUUAUCUGUUCAUGCUUCAAAUCGUUCUGUAGUAGAACAAAUCAUUUACAUUUGACCUCAAAUCAGGUAGGACUACCCGCUGAACUUAAGCAUAUCAAUAAGCGGAGG